ACAGGGAUUGCCCUAGUAACGGCGAGUGAAGCGGCAACAGCUCAAAUUUGAAAUCUGGCGUCUUUGGCGUCCGAGUUGUAAUUUGCAGAGGGCGCUUUGGCAUUGGCAGCGGUCCAAGUUCCUUGGAACAGGACGUCACAGAGGGUGAGAAUCCCGUACGUGGUCGCUAGCCUUUACCGUGUAAAGCCCCUUCGACGAGUCGAGUUGUUUGGGAAUGCAGCUCUAAAUGGGAGGUAAAUUUCUUCUAAAGCUAAAUACUGGCCAGAGACCGAUAGCGCACAAGUAGAGUGAUCGAAAGAUGAAAAGCACUUUGGAAAGAGAGUUAAAAAGCACGUGAAAUUGUUGAAAGGGAAGCGCUUGCAGCCAGACUUGCCUGUAGUUGCUCAUCCGGGUUUUUACCCGGUGCACUCUUCUAUAGGCAGGCCAGCAUCAGUUUGGGCGGUUGGAUAAAGGUCUCUGUCAUGUACCUCCUUUCGGGGAGAUCUUAUAGGGGAGACGACAUGCAACCAGCCUGGACUGAGGUCCGCGCAUCUGCUAGGAUGCUGGCGUAAUGGCUGUAAGCGGCCCGUCUUGAAACACGGACCAAGGAGUCUAACAUCUAUGCGAGUGUUUGGGUGUCAAGCCCGAACGCGUAAUGAAAGUGAACGGAGGUGGGAACCUUUCGGGGUGCACCAUCGACCGAUCCUGAUGUCUUCGGAUGGAUUUGAGUAAGAGCAUAGCUGUUGGGACCCGAAAGAUGGUGAACUAUGCUUGAAUAGGGUGAAGCCAGAGGAAACUCUGGUGGAGGCUCGCAGCGGUUCUGACGUGCAAAUCGAUCGUCAAAUUUGGGCAUAGGGGCGAAAGACUAAUCGAACUAUCUAGUAGCUGGUUCCUGCC
RNAcentral lists this ribosomal RNA (876 nucleotides) under Stagonosporopsis ailanthicola. Its description in RNAcentral is "eukaryotic LSU rRNA". It matches the Rfam family "Eukaryotic large subunit ribosomal RNA", at positions 68 to 962 of the family's 3401-position model. Lineage: Eukaryota; Fungi; Ascomycota; Dothideomycetes; Pleosporales; Didymellaceae. The record is from RNAcentral.